AUUGAACGCUGGCGGCAGGCCUAAAACAUGCAAGUCGAACGAGUGGCGGACAGGUGAGUAAUGUCUGGGAAAAUGCCCGAGGGAGGGGGAUAACUAAUGGAAACGGUAGAUAAUACCGCAUACCAUCGGAUGUGCCCAGAUGGGAUUAGCUUGUAGGUGAGGUAACGGUACACCUAGGCGACGAUCCCUAGCUGGUCUGAGAGGAUGACCAUCCACACUGGAACUGAGACACGGUCCAUACUCCUACGGGAGGCAGCAGUGGGGAAUAUUGCACAAUGGGCGCAAGCCUGAUGCAUCCAUGCCGCGUGUAUGAAGAAGGCCUUCGGGUUGUAAAGUACUUUCAGCGGGGAGGCGUUACCCGCAGAAGAAGCACCGGCUAACUCCGUGCCAGCAGCCGCGGUAAUAC
Molecule: ribosomal RNA, 406 nt
Filed under: uncultured bacterium
Lineage: Bacteria
Description: partial 16S ribosomal RNA
Rfam family: Bacterial small subunit ribosomal RNA
Source: RNAcentral